This 72-nucleotide transfer RNA is filed under the name Bos taurus (domestic cattle). It matches the Rfam family "tRNA". Rfam says of the family: Transfer RNA (tRNA) molecules are approximately 80 nucleotides in length. The record is from Rfam by way of RNAcentral. RNAcentral also lists the same sequence under 3 other names. Lineage: Eukaryota; Metazoa; Chordata; Mammalia; Artiodactyla; Bovidae.
UCCCUGGUGGCUCAGACGGUAAAGCGUCUGCCUGCAGUGCAGGAGACCCAGGUUCGAUCCCUGGGUUGGGAA